GGGUGGUAAUGCCGGAUGCUCCAUCAUACCGCAUGGUGUGUUGGGAAAGCCUUUGCGGCAUGGGAUGGGGUCGCGUCCUAUCAGCUUGAUGGCGGGGUAACGGCCCACCAUGGCUUCGACGGGUAGCCGGCCUGAGAGGGCGACCGGCCACAUUGGGACUGAGAUACGGCCCAGACUCCUACGGGAGGCAGCAGUGGGGAAUAUUGCACAAUGGGCGCAAGCCUGAUGCAGCGACGCCGCGUGAGGGAUGGAGGCCUUCGGGUUGUAAACCUCUUUUGUUAGGGAGCAAGGCAUUUUGUGUUGAGUGUACCUUUCGAAUAAGCACCGGCUAACUACGUGCCAGCAGCCGCGGUAAUACGUAGGGUGCAAGCGUUAUCCGGAAUUAUUGGGCGUAAAGGGCUCGUAGGCGGUUCGUCGCGUCCGGUGUGAAAGUCCAUCGCUUAACGGUGGAUCCGCGCCGGGUACGGGCGGGCUUGAGUGCGGUAGGGGAGACUGGAAUUCCCGGUGUAACGGUGGAAUGUGUAGAUA
This 528-nucleotide ribosomal RNA is filed under the name Bifidobacterium breve. RNAcentral describes it as "bacterial SSU rRNA". It matches the Rfam family "Bacterial small subunit ribosomal RNA", at positions 158 to 696 of the family's 1533-position model. The record is from RNAcentral. Lineage: Bacteria; Bacillati; Actinomycetota; Actinomycetes; Bifidobacteriales; Bifidobacteriaceae.